Molecule: ribosomal RNA, 450 nt
Filed under: uncultured bacterium
Lineage: Bacteria
Description: partial 16S ribosomal RNA
Rfam family: Bacterial small subunit ribosomal RNA
Source: RNAcentral
GUGGGGAAUAUUCCGCAAUGGACGAAAGUCUGACGGAGCAACGCCGCGUGAGUGAUGAAGGUUUUCGGACUGUAAAGCUCUGUUGUUUAGGACGAAAGUGCCUGUUGCAAACAGUUACAGGUAUUGACGGUACUAAACGAGGAAGCCACGGCUAACUACGUGCCAGCAGCCGCGGUAAUACGUAGGUGGCAAGCGUUGUCCGGAAUUAUUGGGCGUAAAGAGCAUGUAGGCGGGAAUCUAAGUCUGUUGUGAAAAUGCGGGGCUCAACCCCGUAUUGCGAUGGAAACUGGGUUUCUUGAGUGCAGGAGAGGAAAGGGGAAUUCCCAGUGUAGCGGUGAAAUGCGUAGAUAUUGGGAGGAACACCAGUGGCGAAGGCGCCUUUCUGGACUGUGUCUGACGCUGAGAUGCGAAAGCCAGGGUAGCGAACGGGAUUAGAAACCCCUGUAGUCC